UCCCUCAAAGCGGCUUUGAACCAGCGACCUAAGGAUCAGCGUUGUAACAUCUACAGUCCUCCGCUCUGCCAACUGAGCUAUCGAGGG
RNAcentral lists this transfer RNA (87 nucleotides) under Cordylochernes scorpioides. RNAcentral's name for it is "tRNA-Tyr". Lineage: Eukaryota; Metazoa; Arthropoda; Arachnida; Pseudoscorpiones; Chernetidae. The record is from RNAcentral.